UCUGCCAAGUAUCGUACCGGGUGACAUGUUAACGUUAGUUGCCCAACUCCUGCUUCAAACACUCUUCUUAACGACCAAGUUACAAUGUCAACAUGACACCAGUUAAAGCCAAAGUUUAUAUCCGAAAACCGUGUUAUAUACUUUGAUAUGAACUUUUGUUUCUCCUCGUCGCCGUGUUGAACUCACGGAGCGGCUUCAGUGAGGCAAGUGUAGGCAAAAGGAUGCUACUGGUUUAGCAAAAGAACGUUAGCUUUAACGUUAGCUGUUAGCACCCGGCGACAGAAAUUCGCGAAAUAACACAGCACUGAACGUACGUUGAUUGAAGAGACUCUCUCCUCCGCUUCACUCCGAGCAACUCGAGAAGUGACGUCAGCUCAAGGCUUCUACAAUGCAAACUUUUGUUCGCAAAACCUGCAACCAGCAAAGUGCACAAACUAUCUGCGAGUACACUAUAUACAUCUGUAAGAUUCUGCAGUCAAAGGAGCUACUGACUGGACUGAGUGAAACACACGCCUGGCAGGAUGAACACACAAGUCCACAGAAUACGCAGUAUACCCCUGAGGCACAGGAGUUGGACUCACUGUCAUUGAUUUUUUCUUAUUUUGUCCUGACAUAUUUAAGUAAUACAGAUUUUAAUCAUGUCAGCACACAAUGCUCUGAUCCCUUUAACACCAAAGCCUCCAAGCACUGCACAUGCGUUUGAUUUAGAAAAUGGCACAGUGUCUGAGCUAAAAAACUGUUUGUGUGUGUUGAAUAUGCAGUUUACACUCUACGCUCUGAUACAGUGUUUUCAACAACUCUGAGCUAACCAUUCCCAAAAAGCUGCCACACAAUGUGAGUUAUAUUCACUUUACACAUCCAAAUUGUAAUGUAAUUCAAAUUACUGUAGCCCAGUAGGUGGUAAAGAAAUGCAGUAUGGCACGUCCUGACGUAAAAUAGAGUUAGUAUAAUACUGUUUAUCUCGCAUGGCCGGCCAGAGAGCAGUCCUCUAAAUAGUGGCCUCUGUUAAUUGGAGCAUGUUCUUGCAUGCCCUUCUGUGUACAGACACCUUUUCCAAGAAAGACCAUAACAUAAAUAGAGGAUGAGCUGAAUAGGAAUAACUCACAUCUAGUAGAAUCCUGAGAAAAAGAGACUUGAAACCGGAAAGGCAGUAAAGAGUUCUGACAUUGUGAAGUCCACGUGCAAGCCAAGGGUUGCUUUUUUCUGUUGUGUAUUGUUUUCUUGACACAUAACUUGGUAAUUCACAGGAUUGUGAUCCAGCGUGGCUCUCAUUUUCAUUCCAUCUGUCACGCUACUGCAUGUCAUCUCUUAUUCAUGCAUACCAAUGUCCGUUUUAAUUAGUCAUUCUGGGUCAGUGUAGACCUCUUCCUGCUUCAAGCAGCGGUGUGGCAGAUGUGUGAAUGAAAUUCAUCUGCUAUUAUUUGAGCGAAAAAAGGCCUUUACAGCCAUUGUGAUGAGGCAACAGCCACUCUACAAUAAUAAAAUACAUACAUCCCAGUUAAACAGAAAAGAUGAUUUUAGGGAUGCAACAGCAUCAAUCACUUAAGCUGAAAUCUGUUUGUAAAAAAAAUAAAUGGUUAUGCCUCAAAAGGUUCAUCAUAAAUUUAAUUCAACCCAAUUAUUUCCACAAAAUCUAAUGAGGCUUCAGUAAAUUAGUGUUACAAUUAAUUAUCAUAAUUAGAAUGAUCAUAAUUAUUCCUUUUGCAUGUCAAUACACGUUUUCCUCUGUUGUAACUGGUGACACACAGCAGCUAAACACUUCUGUAGCAUUACAACAGAUUACUAAUGUGUGUAGGCUCAGCAGACUUUUUACAGUCUGAUAAUCAGUGAAUUGCCGUUUUGUUUUCACGUCAUUAUUCCGUCUUAACUAAUUCAAUUUGAAUCGCUAAAACAUUUUUUCAGAUGAGGGCCAUUAAGUCCUGGAACCAGACCAGAAAUGAACAUCUACGAUCACACUCUUAGUUUUCUAAAUGUAUCAUGCAGAGUUGCAUUCAAACAGAAGCUUACUCACAGUAAUUGUUUUUGCUAUUUUAUCAAGACUAAAUUAUACUUGUUGAAUAUGUUGCAUAUUCAUGAGCCUGAAUAAGUCUUUGCUCUUCGAAAUAUAAAAUCAAUAUCUGCUGAAAUCUAACCAUGUAGGUCAUUUUUAAAGGCCCAAUUUGUACAUUUGAGGGGCUGUACAUAGGUAAAGUAAAUCAUGAAAAUCAGAAUUUUGUGUUUUCCUCAUACACCAUUUUUGACAAUAUAGGCCUCAGUAUAGACAAUAUGGGGCAUUUUAACUAUAACAGUUAAAAGCCCACACAGAGCCCCUACCCCACAGUGCAGCCCUGGCCUUCUCCGGCCCCACUCUGGUCUUUGGACCUUUAUCUCACAUAGCAUGUUAAUAGUUGUCUUCCACAGCGAGCCUAAAUGACUUACUUAAUCAAUAAGAGGACUUUCACCUCAGCUUGGAGACAAGAUAAGCAUUCUGCAAUUUUACAUCUACUCUAUUUAUUUUGUGUUCAUGUUUAAAGAUAUGAGUUACCUCUAGACUUCCUCGAAAAUGUAACAGUGUAACAGCAAAGUGCAACAGGGUAAUUUUUUCAAAUCAGUGUUUUUUCUGAUUGUUGUCCAAUAACAACACUGUCAAACUGAUAAUCUUCCAUGUUCCCUCCUGCAAUGUCAGAGAACAGACUUGACAGAAAUGUGAUUCACUGUCCCACCUUGUGGCCAUAUCUAGAAAUAACCUGGAAUGCUCCGAGGAAAGCGUUAUUGUUAUUGUCCUAUUAGUGUGCUACAUCAAUAAAUGUUAGUCCACAAGUGCCUUUGACUAUUCAUAACUAGAUGUGAAAAUCAUCAAGAAAGACACAACUCAACAAAAAAGAGGCAUAUGAAGCCAAUAUUUAAAGAGAAUUUGUUAGAUGGCAGACUUCUUGGAAGUCUAAAUUUAGAUGUGUAUGAAUGGGAAGGGGGGGGGGGGGUGAGAUUUCCUGCUGCCUUUGCUCAGUUCUGUUUCAUCUUGGCCCACACUGAGAUGUCAACAGAGCCACUGGACAUUUGGAGAGAGUGACAUUUUUCAGAUGACAAUGAUUUAGAUGUCCUCUCUGAAACCCCAAUUUAAGUGUCCUAAUUCAUCCUUUUCUCCUCAAUUAUGCAUCGACAUAUAUAUAUAUAUAGCAGAAAUGUUCUAUUUAGAGAGAAAUAAUACUUUUUACUUUCUGACACCGCUGGACAACCCAUGGCUGGAAGUUGACAUAUUACUGUUGGCAGACUACUAGAAAUGUGUCCUGUU
Molecule: long non-coding RNA, 3271 nt
Organism: Micropterus salmoides (largemouth bass)
Lineage: Eukaryota; Metazoa; Chordata; Actinopteri; Centrarchiformes; Centrarchidae
Exons: 4
Source: RefSeq, a predicted model, not a curated record